This 406-nucleotide ribosomal RNA is filed under the name uncultured bacterium. Its description in RNAcentral is "partial 16S ribosomal RNA". It matches the Rfam family "Bacterial small subunit ribosomal RNA", at positions 30 to 526 of the family's 1533-position model. The record is from RNAcentral.
AUUGAACGCUGGCGGCAGGCCUAACACAUGCAAGUCGAACGAGUGGCGGACGGGUGAGUAAUGUCUGGGCAACUGCCCGAUGGAGGGGGAUAACUACUGGAAACGGUAGCUAAUACCGCAUACCAUCGGAUGUGCCCAGAUGGGAUUAGCUAGUAGGUGGGGGAAAGGCUCACCUAGGCGACGUACCCUAGCUGGUCUGAGAGGAUGAGCGGCCACACUGGCACUGAGACUCUGUCCAGACUCCUACGGGAGGCAGCAGUGGGGAAUAUUGCACAAUUGGCGCAAGCCUGAUGCAGCAAUGCCGCGUGUAUGAAGAAGGCCGUCGGGUUGUAAAGUACUUUCAGCGGGGAGGCGUUACCCGCAGAAGAAGCACCGGCUAACUCCGUGCCAGCCGCCGCGGUAAUUC